UAAAGAUUCGAAGCAGAUUGGUCCUAUUCCAAGCACUGAGCACCACCAGCUGCUUUUUUUGUAAAUUAAGAACAUGUUUUCCAUGUAGAGAGCAAGCUAAAUAUAACUUUCUCCAUGGGAAAAAUAGUAAAAUUAAAUUCGUCUUCUUCUUCCUAUCUAAUUUUAUCAUAAAAACAAUGGCCAUGAAAUUUUUCAACGUUGCAUCCCAAAAAACGGCAGGACUU
This 224-nucleotide small RNA is filed under the name Prunus dulcis (almond). RNAcentral describes it as "sRNA ncRNA". The record is from RNAcentral. Lineage: Eukaryota; Viridiplantae; Streptophyta; Magnoliopsida; Rosales; Rosaceae.